Molecule: ribosomal RNA, 396 nt
Filed under: uncultured bacterium
Lineage: Bacteria
Description: bacterial SSU rRNA
Rfam family: Bacterial small subunit ribosomal RNA
Source: RNAcentral
AUUUUGGGCAAUGGGCGAAAGCCUGACCCAGCAACGCCGCGUGAGGGAUGAAGUAUUUCGGUAUGUAAACCUCGAAAGAAUGGGAAGAAUAAAUGACGGUACCAUUUAUAAGCUCCGGCUAACUACGUGCCAGCAGCCGCGGUAAUACGUAGGGAGCAAGCGUUGUUCGGAUUUACUGGGCGUAAAGGGCGCGUAGGCGGCGCGGUAAGUCACUUGUGAAAUCUCUGAGCUUAACUCAGAACGGCCAAGUGAUACUGCUGUGCUAGAGUGCGGAAGAGGCAACCGGAAUUCUUGGUGUAGCGGUGAAAUGCGUAGAUAUCAAGAGGAACACCUGAGGCGAAGGCGGGUUGCUGGGCCGACACUGACGCUGAUGCGCGAAAGCCAGGGGAGCAAACG